RNAcentral lists this long non-coding RNA (5042 nucleotides) under Vitis vinifera (wine grape). Its description in RNAcentral is "long non-coding RNA (VVIN_LNC004395)". The record is from RNAcentral. Lineage: Eukaryota; Viridiplantae; Streptophyta; Magnoliopsida; Vitales; Vitaceae.
UACCUAUUCCCUAUUCCAUUUAUCACACCACAUGCCCACUGAAUCUAUCUCUUUACUCACUAACACCUUUCACCAUCUUCUUUUUAAAAUAUCCACUCACUCGUUUCUCUCUCUACACCACGUGUUUUUCAAACCCAUUGUUUUUCACUCAUUAAACCCAUUCCCCUCACCCUUGCAUGGCCACACCAACCUCUCUACCCAUCCAUCAUAUCCUCAUACAUGCAUGGUUCCCAUCUGUACCCAUUUCUCUUACCAAUCAUCUUUCUCAUUUUCCAAGUCUACAUAUCUAUCACCUCACCACUAACCCAUUUUUCAUCACCCUUCAUAUCCCCAUAUACGUCACCAUACCCGCCAUCCACCAUUCAUUCCAUACCUUCCAUUGCAUGCUCCGCCACACUCAUGACCACCAAAGAAGUGACACAGAGAAGGAUCGGUGAUGGCAUGCAAAAGUUCUUCUAUCAGGCGUCAAUGAGAGCUCGGUAUUUUGUCAUGAGAAUUCACUAUAUUCAUUAAAUAAAAAAAAUAAAAAUAAAAAACUCCAGGGGCAGCUAGUAGCUGGGCAAGAGGAGACAUUCCAGUGGCAGAUUCACGUAAGUGCUAGACAAGAGCAACUUUUGACCAUAACGUGCAUUUACCGCUUGGAAUAUAUGUGGCCAUGGUUAAAAAAGGAUCGAAUUAAAAGAAUGUAUUUAAUUAAAUAUAUUGUGACAUUAUUAGAGAUGGUGGAUUUGAAGUAAUUAAGAUUUAAUAUAUGAUUAAUGCGGAGUUGACGAAGAGAACAUCAUGCAUGACCAUCCAUCAAUGUAUAACUAAGCAAUAGAUGAUAUUUACACAUGACAUGACUUUACUAGUAGUUUAUUACUUUUCUUUUAAUAUUUAUUUCAUGUUGAAUUAUUAGAAUCAAGGAAAAUAUGAUACAAAGAAUUUUUUAAACGUAGAGGUGAACUUGUAUGACCUUAUUUGUCCUUCCAUGAGUGAAAUCAUCAUCUAAAGUCAUUUAUAUAGAUUUGUCUCUUUUAUAUCUAGUCAAAAUUAUGCUUAUUCAAAUUGGGGUUGGAAAACUUCUCUAGCCAAAGAAUCAACUUCAAUGUGGAGAAGACAUAAUGACCUUUUUUUAUUAUUUAUUUUUUCUUAAUUUCCUUAUUUCUUUUAAAAUCAACUUCUUUGUUGUUUGGGAAGAAAAUUAAACAAAAUUAAUUAAUAAUUAAUUAUCACAACUUUUCUAACAUUUUCAUACAUUAUAAAAAAAAUCCUAGUAGAAAAUUUAAUAUUAUAUAAAAAUUUAUGAAAAUAUUGAAACAAAAAACUUACAAGGCAACACCCUAUACCAAGAUAUUGAGUAUCUGAAAGCAUCCAUUCUCAAUUCUUUCAUUGUAUGCACAUCUUCCUAUUAAAUUCAAAUAUGUAAAUAAAUAUCACCAUAAUUUUUAUAAUAUUAAUGAAAGAAAAAUGAAAAGGAAAAGAUAAUACGAGGAAUUCCAAACCUUAUAACAAUGAUAGAAAUCAUUUGCAACAUCACCAUUGCUACCAUCCAUUAUCCUAGCUAUAUUGUUAACACAAAAAAGUUAAGAAAUAUAAUUAAUUUUUUUAUAUAUCAAUAUAUAAUAUAAUUAUUCAUUAAUUAGGUUCUAAUCUUAUCUAAAUUAUUUUUAAUGCUUUUAAAUCCAUAUUGAUUAUUGAAUUAGAAAAGUUAUCAAGUCAUAAUUCACUAGCUAGUUGGGACGAUGGUUCAAUUGUGAACAAAUAAUGAUUCAAUAUGAUUUUUGAAAAUUAUAAUUUAUAUAUUCUUACAUAAAAAUAUAUAAUUUUAAAUUUAUAUUUAUGUAAAUAAUUAUAAUUUAUAACAUUUAUUUGUUUAUAAAUUAAAUUAAUUUUUAAUAUAAUUUCAAAAAAUAAAAAAAUUAAACCAGGAUGGUGGGUUCUUCUAUUGAUCCAUCUGCCCACUUCACUUAAUUUUUCAUUUUAUCUUUUUGGGAUGAAGAUUAUCAUAUCUCAACUUCGUAUUCUUGUCAUCAUUUGCAAUCACUUCCUAAUAGCAAAACCUAAACUAUUUUAAGUACUCUUUUUCUUAGAGAAAAAUAAAAAAAUAAAAAAUAAAAAUUUAAUAAUAAAAGUUUUUGUCAUUAUCUUACUUGCUUUUUCUUUUCAAAAAAUAUAAAUUAUUAUUAAUAUUAUUAUUAUUAUUAUUUUGACUUUUAAGUUUUAAAACUCAAAUGUUAUCCUAAACCUUCAAGCUUAAAUCCAAACACAAUCAUCAUAAACUUUUUGUGUUAAAAAAAGUCAGGAAAAUUAUUCAACUCAAAGAGAGACCUGGGUAUUUACGACUGAAAGUAUCCCAUAUACUAGGACCUCUGCCACCUUCGUUUGCUAUGAGUCAUAUUAAUUUAUAUACUGAAAGUCAGGAAAAUCCAUGCACAGAACAUAUUAAUUUAUAUUAAAAAUAAGAAAAUGAUAUGAUAUAGAAUACACAGCAUAUCAAACUUCAAACUUGAACAUUUGAAAUAUACGGAAAAAAUGGGUUUAGAAUAUAAAAAAAUGGAAUUUAGAUCUAAAGCAAUCACACCAUUGCAUGGUACAAAUUAAAGUGAUUUUUGAUAAUGUGGCAAGUUGUGAUUGGUCUUCACUAUUAUCUAUAAAAGUUGUUUUUUGAUACCAUGAAAAUGUCAGAUCUCUAUUAUGAACAUACUAAAAAAAACAAAAAAAAGUUGUAAUAGAUUAAAAUUAAUCUAUGAAUCCGUAAAAAUAUCUCCUUGCUUGAUAAGUAGCCGAACCUGUUCCAAAAAUGAAACCGGCCGAAAACUACUUCGAUUGAAGGAGGCAGCUACCACUGGCUCAGUCCAAGCCAAUGAGCUAACCAGGAUUAGUAGGCCUAGUGGUAAUGAGCACUGAUGAGUUGCUAUGAGUAGCUGUGGUUUCAAGGUUCAUCUUCACUCCCUUUAUAUAGAUCCAAAUUAGAGGAAAUCAAUCAAUUAAUGUGACAUUUUUACUAACUCUCCAAUUGAAGGAGUCAGCUACCACUGGCUCAGUCCAAGCCAAUGAGCUAACCAGGAUUAGUAGGCCUAGGAGUAAUGAGCAGUACUGAUAAGUUGCCAUGAGUAGUUGUGGUUUCAAGUUUCAUCUUCACUCUCUUUGUAUAGAUCCAAAUUAGAGGAAAUCAAUCCAUUAAUUAUGUGACAUUUUUUAUGUGAAAAUUUUAUCCAUAGGCAUAUUAUAUAUUGCUAUCAAAGUAUGGCUAGAACUGAUAAGAGGACUUGUCAAAAUGAGACAAUUAUAUAUUUAGAAACAUCUUAUACAUCUCCUAUGGAUGUAUAAGAUGUUUUUCAUAAUUGCAAAAAAAUCAAAGUUUUUUUGCAAUUAUGAAAAACUUGAAUACCAAUAACAAAAUGUUAAACCUUUUAGUGAAAAAUAAAAAUUGAGAGCAAAACCCUAAUAGCAAACAAAUUAAUUUGUUUUAAAAAAAGAAUUAAAAUCCAUGCUACUUUGAACUGAGAUAAGAUAAUGGAAACACUAAUCUAUCCUCAUGAAAUUAGACUUCCUUAAAUUAAAUGGUAAAGUACAUAAUGUUAUUUGAUCCUUGAUCCGUGAAAGUAGAGGAAUGAAUGAAACUUAAUUAAAAACUAAUUCGAUACGUAAUUAACAAGAUAUUAUUUUGUCCAAUUUUAACUACAAGAAAAAAAGCUUAUCUUUCUAAUAACAAUAAUAGGUAAUGGCAGCCAUGGGUGAGGCUGUGAGGGAGAUGGAGAGGGUGACUGUGUCGGCAAUGGUCCGUUGUGGACUGAAUGAAGCUGGGUGUGGUGAUGGAGAUGGAGCCGGAGAGAGAGAGGAAGCAACAACUUGGGAGGUGACGAUGCAUGGACUGUGAGGGCAUAAUGGAGAUGAGAAGUGGCAGCGCGUGGUGAGGCGAGAUGAAGGAUGUAGGUGGCAGCCAUGGUGAUCGUUGAUCAGUGGUUUUGGCUAGUCAGGAAGAGGAGUUGGAGAUGGUGGAGUUUUAAGGUGGACGGUGGUGAGAGCGACGGCCAUGGAAGGGUGAUAGCAGAGAGGUGAUAGUGUGUACUGGUAAUGGAGAUGGCGGGCAAGAGCAAAGAGAGAAGCAGAGGAAGAAAAUAAAAAAAUCCAAGAAAGAAAGAAGAACCAGGGAGAAGGAGGGGGGGCCGGUCUCUUGCCGGACGGAGAGAGCCUUCUUUAAUUACUUAUAACUUGAUUCUCCUGAUUUUCUGUUUUCCAAAAAAUUCUGAUUUUCCUUCUAAUUCUAUUUCUUCCUCAAAAGUAAAGUAAAUAAGGUAAAAUUAAGGAAAAUAAAACAAUAAACAAAAAUAAAAAAUAAAAUAAAUACAAUAAUAAAAAUACACAACGCCUUAUUGCUUCAAAAGAAGCUCCCAUCGAAGUUCACUAUGAAUCUUUGGGUACCUAUCAUGAGAUUUAUGGGCACUAUCUAAUAGUAAGAAGUGUAAAAAAAGAGAUUCCUUGUAUAUACAUUCGAACCACUGUUGGUCAUAUUUCUCUUUAUCGAGAAAUCGAAGAAGCCAUCCAAGGCUUUUGUCGGGCCUGCUCAUAUGAGACCUAAUCAUAUGAUACUUAGGCUAAGUAAUUAUAUGAUAUGAUACCGGUAUUAAUUCGGGUCUCUCCGGUUCAACUAGGAUCAUAGUUCUUGAAUUUCUACGCGAAGCAAGAUCGAGAAAAGGAAGUUUUACAACCACUGACUCAAACCCAUUGUCAAAUCCUACUCAGCGGAAUAUGGGGGUACUUAUGACAGAAAGGGCCAAUCUGGUCUUUCACAAUAAAGUGAUAGAUGGAACUGCCAUGAAACGACUUAUUAGCAGAUUAAUAGAUCACUUCGGAAUGGCAUAUACAUCACACAUCCUGGAUCAAGUAAAGACUCUGGGUUUCCAGCAAGCCACUGCUACAUCCAUUUCAUUAGGAAUUGAUGAUCUUUUAACAAUACCUUCUAAAGGAUGGCUAGUCCAAGAUGCUGAACAACAAAGUUUGAUUUUGGAAAAACACCAUCAUUAUACUGUGCAUGAGAUAUAGGUAGGAGAGCACAA